Non-coding RNA from Globicatella sp. HMSC072A10, 83 nucleotides. NCBI's taxonomy places the organism in Bacteria, Bacillati, Bacillota, Bacilli, Lactobacillales, Aerococcaceae. The record is from Rfam.
GCGGUAGUGGCGGAAUGGCAGACGCGCCAUCUUGAGGGGGUGGUGAGUGUAUACUCGUGUGGGUUCAAAUCCCAUCUACCGCA